CUUACGAUGUACGAUUGCACGUACGCGUGCGCAGUGGCUAUUUUCACUUCGAAGCGUAAAAAGUGUGAAUUUGCUCAUUUACUUUGAAUUCCCUGCGCUACCGCCGCAUUAUAACGAAAAAGAACACAGAACUUUGUGAGAAAGCAACGAAUUUCAACGUAUACGUAUGCCUGCCAACGGCAUGUCGAUCAACUGUACCGUUAUUCAGUGUUGUUUACAAAUCCAAAUGGAAGGUUCAUCAAAUUUAACGCAUUUGACUUGUGCAUGGAUCUGCGAUGCUGUAGGUGUUCAAAAAGAAGUCGGCAUGGACUGACAAGUCAUAAAGGUGGUCAAGAAAUAAAUUGCCAACAGACAGCAGCAUUCCUUGAUUUAGAUGCAUUUCUCUUCAUGUCCUCUCCUGAAAGAUUUUCCAUGAUGCCUCAGGGUUAGGAUUGGGAUGCAAGAUGUACAGUACAUAUAUAUGAUGUCUAUGAGUACAUUGCUGUAAUGGCCUGAAAAAUCUUUUGCGAAACCGAGAAAUGCUCAUCUUCCAUUGUCUUGAUUGAGUAAAAGGACAAGCAGAGGAAUGAUUCAAAAAUAUAUGGCAGGAUUGAGAAUCUAACCCAUGACCCGUAGUGUGGUACUCUACCCAUUGAUCAAUCCAUGCUGAUGGUCCAUCUGCUACAUUGAUGUCAUCUUAUAUAUUUAUUUAUUCAUUUAUAUCAUAUGGACAUUUAAAAAUUGACAGUAAAAUAAAAAAAAGUUUGAUAUUCAGCAAAAUAGAAUUUUUUACAAUACAUGUUUAAGAAAUUAAGUACAUGUACAUGCAUUGUUAUGCAUACAAUUAUGUACAUGUAAUUAUAUUUGUUAAUAGAUAACUUUUUAGAUGAAUUUUCAUGUUGUUAUUGAUAUUGACAUGUACAUGUAUUACUUCCAUUUCUAGAAUGAUUUUAACAUCUUGAUAUUAAAAAGAUGACAUAAUAAAUAAAUCUUAAAUAUUUGUCAACAAAGUUGUCUGGUGGGUUAAAAUUUGUAAAGAGGAGCAUUAGUACAUAUGUCGGUUUAAUGUGAGAAGCCUUCAGAAUGAACUUUUAUCAGUGAG
Ostrea edulis (European flat oyster) is the source of this 1081-nucleotide long non-coding RNA. RefSeq lists it as uncharacterized. NCBI's taxonomy places the organism in Eukaryota, Metazoa, Mollusca, Bivalvia, Ostreida, Ostreidae. The transcript has 3 exons. The record is from RefSeq and is a predicted model, not a curated record.